This is a long non-coding RNA of Ailuropoda melanoleuca (giant panda), 432 nucleotides long. RefSeq lists it as uncharacterized. The transcript has 3 exons. Lineage: Eukaryota; Metazoa; Chordata; Mammalia; Carnivora; Ursidae. The record is from RefSeq and is a predicted model, not a curated record.
UGGAAUUCAUUUCAAUAGUAUUGCUGAAUUUUCUUUUUUUACAGAGAUAACUUGGAAUGGUUGGCAAGGGCCACUAACUGGGCAAAAUUUACAGCUACAGCCAGUCUGGGUGUAAUUCAUAAGGGUCAUGAGAAGGAAGCAUUACAGUUAAUGGCAACAUAUCUUCCCAAGGACACCUCUCCAGGUUCAGCCUAUCAGGAAGGUGGAGGUCUCUAUGCAUUAGGUCUCAUUCAUGCUAAUCAUGGUGGUGAUAUAAUUGACUAUCUGCUUAACCAGCUUAAGAAUGCCAGCAAUGAUAUUGUUCGACAUGGUGGCAGUCUGGGCCUUGGUUUGGCUGCCAUGGGGACUGCGCGCCAGGAUGUGUAUGAUCUGCUAAAAACAAACCUUUAUCAGGAUGAUGCUGUGACAGGUAAGUGAUUCUUUCCAGAGAAA